GACGAACGCUGGCGGCGUGCUUAACACAUGCAAGUCGAACGGUAAGGCCCUUCGGGGUACCCGAGUGGCGAACGGGUGAGUAACACGUGGGUAAUCUGCCCUGCACAUCGGGAUAAGCCUGGGAAACUGGGUCUAAUACCGAAUAGGACCACAGGACACAUGUCCUGUGGUGGAAAGCUUUUGCGGUGUGGGAUGGGCCCGCGGCCUAUCAGCUUGUUGGUGGGGUGAUGGCCUACCAAGGCGACGACGGGUAGCCGGCCUGAGAGGGUGUCCGGCCACACUGGGACUGAGAUACGGCCCAGACUCCUACGGGAGGCAGCAGUGGGGAAUAUUGCACAAUGGGCGAAAGCCUGAUGCAGCGACGCCGCGUGGGGGAUGACGGCCUUCGGGUUGUAAACCUCUUUCACCAUCGACGAAGGUCCGGGUUUUCUCGGGCUGACGGUAGGUGGAGAAGAAGCAUCGGCCAACUACGUG
RNAcentral lists this ribosomal RNA (474 nucleotides) under uncultured bacterium. RNAcentral describes it as "partial 16S ribosomal RNA". It matches the Rfam family "Bacterial small subunit ribosomal RNA", at positions 28 to 507 of the family's 1533-position model. The record is from RNAcentral.